This 329-nucleotide ribosomal RNA is filed under the name uncultured eukaryote. RNAcentral describes it as "partial 18S ribosomal RNA". It matches the Rfam family "Eukaryotic small subunit ribosomal RNA", at positions 1470 to 1796 of the family's 1831-position model. The record is from RNAcentral.
CCCUUAGAUGUUCUGGGCCGCACGCGCGCUACACUGAUGCAUUCAACGAGUCUAAAACCUGCUCUGAUAGGGGUGGGUAAUCUUUUGAAUGUGCAUCGUGAUUGGGAUAGAUGAUUGCAAUUUUUCAUCUUCAACGAGGAAUGCCUAGUAAACGCAAGUCAUCAGCUUGCAUUGAUUACGUCCCUGCCCUUUGUACACACCGCCCGUCGCUCCUACCGAUUGAAUGAUCCGAUGAAUAUCAUGGAUUGAGGAUGCAAGUAGGUUAGCCUAUCUUCAUCUUCGAGAAGUGAAGUAAAUCUUAUCAUUUAAAGGAAGGAGAAGUCGUAACA